RNAcentral lists this ribosomal RNA (763 nucleotides) under Enterobacter sp. DHL-02. RNAcentral describes it as "bacterial SSU rRNA". It matches the Rfam family "Bacterial small subunit ribosomal RNA", at positions 23 to 777 of the family's 1533-position model. The record is from RNAcentral. Lineage: Bacteria; Pseudomonadati; Pseudomonadota; Gammaproteobacteria; Enterobacterales; Enterobacteriaceae.
CUCAGAUUGAACGCUGGCGGCAGGCCUAACACAUGCAAGUCGAACGGUAGCACAGAGAGCUUGCUCUCGGGUGACGAGUGGCGGACGGGUGAGUAAUGUCUGGGAAACUGCCUGAUGGAGGGGGAUAACUACUGGAAACGGUAGCUAAUACCGCAUAACGUCGCAAGACCAAAGAGGGGGACCUUCGGGCCUCUUGCCAUCAGAUGUGCCCAGAUGGGAUUAGCUAGUAGGUGGGGUAACGGCUCACCUAGGCGACGAUCCCUAGCUGGUCUGAGAGGAUGACCAGCCACACUGGAACUGAGACACGGUCCAGACUCCUACGGGAGGCAGCAGUGGGGAAUAUUGCACAAUGGGCGCAAGCCUGAUGCAGCCAUGCCGCGUGUAUGAAGAAGGCCUUCGGGUUGUAAAGUACUUUCAGCGGGGAGGAAGGUGUUGUGGUUAAUAACCACAGCAAUUGACGUUACCCGCAGAAGAAGCACCGGCUAACUCCGUGCCAGCAGCCGCGGUAAUACGGAGGGUGCAAGCGUUAAUCGGAAUUACUGGGCGUAAAGCGCACGCAGGCGGUCUGUCAAGUCGGAUGUGAAAUCCCCGGGCUCAACCUGGGAACUGCAUUCGAAACUGGCAGGCUAGAGUCUUGUAGAGGGGGGUAGAAUUCCAGGUGUAGCGGUGAAAUGCGUAGAGAUCUGGAGGAAUACCGGUGGCGAAGGCGGCCCCCUGGACAAAGACUGACGCUCAGGUGCGAAAGCGUGGGGAGCAAACAGAU